CACCAGGUAGAAGCGGUUGGUCUUCUUAGCUUUAGCACGGAAGGUUUUUUUCCUUCAUCUUGUCGCGUCACCGAUUACCUUCGACCAUAUAUAUAUAUAUAUAAAUGCAUUUAUGGAACUAUACAUAAAAUUGAAAUAAAAUAACAAACGAAAUAUGGAGCUCGAGGAUAGGCGUGGUCGUUGAGGUACCUACGCGUGGCUACUUAUCUAGGAAAAAAGAAGCAGAACUAGGAGCAGAACUACGAACAGAACUAGAAAUUGCAAUAUCGAAAAGGAGGUGAGUCGGGAGGGGUAGGGAGGCGUUGGCGGUGGUGGUGGCGGUGGUGGUGGCGGCGUUGGCGGCGUUGGCGUUGGCGUCGGUUCCAGAGGCAAAAGCCUUCUCGGCGGCCGGUAUUUCCGCGCGACGCGUGUCCGAGCUCGCACGAUCCUCGUCGUGGUUAGCACAGCGUGCGUUCUCCGAUUAUCGUGCUCGCAGCUUCGUGCUCGCAGCUUCGCGCUCGCGACAGAGGUCAAGGAGAGAAUAUUUUGGCGGCAGACCGCACCGGUGCAUAGUGCGCGCGCGCGCGCGCGCACCCCAGUGUCAGUUGGCAGACUAGAUAGGCAAAGGAAAAUAAAAAGUCUCGAUGACCGACGCUCCCGUUAUCUCGGUGGAUGUCAAAGGGCAACGUACGACCUGACUAGAGCUGUGCCAGGGCCGUGCCAGGGCCUUUGUGCCAGGGCCGUCGUGCCAGGGCCGAAGCUGGGCUCGCCUCGCGCUGGCGCGCGUCUCCUCCUUCGAGCGACGUCGCGACGUCCUCCUCGUCAUCGCCAUCGCCAUCGCCAUCGCCAUCGCCAUCGCCGUCGCCUCCGCCACUACCACCACCAUCACCACCACCACCACCACCACCACCACCAACAACAACAACAUCAUCAUGGAUUGGCAUAGGAAGCUCGGACCGAUCUUUCUCUUAUUGCUUUUUGCUUUCGGCACCGAGGAAGUAGAGGCGCUCAGGAUGCUGGAACUUGUUAUACCGCAAUACGUGGUACGGGGACAGAACAUACGUCUCGAGUGUAGCUUUAACCUGGACGGUGAGAUACUCUAUUCGGUUAAGUGGUACAAAGAUGGCAACGAAUUUUAUCGAUACGUACCUAGGGAUAUGCCACCUGUAUUGGUUUUCUCACUUCCCGGCGUUUCCGUCGACAUACAUAACUCUACCGAACGAUCGGUCGUUCUUUAUUCCGUUAAUCUAAUGAGUUCUGGGAGAUAUAGGUGCGAAGUCUCGGCGGAAGCACCUUCCUUUCAAACUGUAUCCGAUCAUUCGGAUAUGAUGGUAGUCGCUCUGCCCGAAAAUGGCCCCGUUAUCACGGGUAGACCUGGCAGACGUCGCUAUCAAGUAUCGGACGUCGUGCGAUUCAACUGUACGUCGGCUAAAUCGAAACCAGCCGCCAUGCUCAGUUGGUUCAUAAAUGGCGAGCCCGUCGAUCCACAAUACCUAAGAGGACCUCAUAUCACGGAGGUAGACCGCGAGGGUCUAGAGACUGCCGUACUUGGUCUGGAGUUUCGUUUGCGUACGAAGCACUUCAAGAAGGGUGACAUGAAGAUCAAAUGCCUGGCGACGAUAGCGACUGUAUAUUGGAAAUCGAACGAGCUCAGUAUAGAGGGUGAAAGGCCCUUAAAGAUGCCGGUAAUGGAGAGUAGGGAGACAAGAGCGCAAGGCCAUACACACGCCGAACACAUUUUAGCCAGUGCAAAUAUCAAAUCCGUAGGAUCGUCCCUGUCGCUGCUAACCCUAGGAUUGCUUAUACUCCGGACCCAAUACAGGACCUCUUCCUGCUUCGUCUACUCCCAAUUGGCACGGUUCCUCGCGACAAGCAUUUGGAAUCUACAAAAUAAUACUGAACGAUUAUUUGGAACCGUUUGGACACUGGCUAAAGGACCUGAAACUCUUGUCAAAUUAUUGGCCUUACCUCGGAAAAAUAAAUGUCAUUAUUACUAUGGUCGAUCUUUUCAAAGUAAGACGUCAAUUCCGUUCUGUUUUUUAUUAUUACGUUUGCCUCUUUACUCGAUUUAUCCAUUUCUUCUUCAGCGUUCAUCUCUGUUAUAUUAUCGAUUUGAAAACUCAUAACUUUUGUUGAUCUAACCUCAAAAACAAAUCAAAAGACGUUCGGAGAAACCGCCAAAGUUUUAACGGUACAUGCAGCGGCGGUGCCUAGCGGCGGACCCCAGCGGCGGACCCCAGCGGCGGACCCUAGCGGCGACCAUUGAAGCAAUUAACCAAUGAAGCAUUGGUCGGUGCAUUGGUCGGUGCAUUAGUUGGUGCAUUAGUCGAUGCAUUAAUCGGUCCUUUACAUUUCGCCUCUAUCUUCUAUUCUCUUCUAUCUCUGUUUUCAAAUAAAGCGGCAAUGAGAAAUUAAUUGAACGAAAUAUACUACAUCAAAUAAUUUCUUGAUAACAUAUAAUAACAAA
RNAcentral lists this unclassified non-coding RNA (2446 nucleotides) under Polistes fuscatus (common paper wasp). RNAcentral's name for it is "uncharacterized LOC122525045, transcript variant X5". The record is from RNAcentral. Lineage: Eukaryota; Metazoa; Arthropoda; Insecta; Hymenoptera; Vespidae.